GGGGAAUCUUCCGCAAUGGGCGAAAGCCUGACGGAGCAAUACCGCGUGAGGGAGGACGGCUUUUGGGUUGUAAACCUCUUUUAUCAGGGAGGAAUCGAUGACGGUACCUGAUGAAUCAGCAUCGGCUAACUCCGUGCCGGCAGCCGCGGUAAUACGGAGGAUGCAAGCGUUAUCCGGAAUUAUUGGGCGUAAAGCGUCCGUAGGUGGUUUAUCAAGUCUGCUGUCAAAGCGUGCGGCUUAACCGCAUAAGGGCAGUGGAAACUGAUGAACUAGAGUGCGAUAGGGGUAACAGGAAUUCCCAGUGUAGCGGUGAAAUGCGUAGAUAUUGGGAAGAACACCAGCGGCGAAAGCGUGUUACUGGGUCUGCACUGACACUGAGGGACGAAAGCUAGGGGAGCGAAAAGGAUUAGAUACCC
Molecule: ribosomal RNA, 416 nt
Filed under: uncultured Leptolyngbya sp.
Lineage: Bacteria; Bacillati; Cyanobacteriota; Cyanophyceae; Leptolyngbyales; Leptolyngbyaceae
Description: bacterial SSU rRNA
Rfam family: Bacterial small subunit ribosomal RNA
Source: RNAcentral